Molecule: long non-coding RNA, 5273 nt
Organism: Lytechinus pictus (painted urchin)
Lineage: Eukaryota; Metazoa; Echinodermata; Echinoidea; Temnopleuroida; Toxopneustidae
Exons: 3
Source: RefSeq, a predicted model, not a curated record
AGUCAUUUCACUCAGUGUACAACAUGGAUGCACACCCUUUCUUGUGUGAACCAUCUUCCAGCAUAAAUGAAAAAAUAAUUCUACGAGAGACAAGGACCUGACACCAAUCUUAUCUGGCGUUAGCAGUUAUUGGUAUUAGUCAUAUCACUCAGUGUACAGCAUGUCUGCAUGCCCUAUCUUGUGUGAACCAUCUUCCAUCAUAAAUAAAAAGAGAGCUAGUUUUCCGCAGACAAGGACAUGACACCAAUCUUGAAAUCAACAUCUACAAGGAAUAUCUGGGUCGCCUCACUAGGUGUACAGCAUGGAUGCGCACCCUCUCUUGUGUGAACCAUCUUCCAGCAUAAAUAAAAGAGGCAUUCUCCGAGAGACAAGGAUCUGACACCAUCUACAUGGAAUGUCUGGCGUGAGCAGUUAUUGGUAUAAAGGUGAGUUAUCCAAAAGAGGCAUUGGAUUUGACGUAAAGCUCUUUAAAAUAUUAAGUUACAGUGCCGGCCGCAGGAAACGUCACGCCCGAGCACGCAAACACCCUAGGGGGCUUUCGCGUCUAACCGAGGGUAUUCAAGGGGAGCAGACUAGGGCGUUUAGCCGCACCCGCAGUUUCCUGCAUGCUCUAUAAUAUUGGCCGUGCCCGCACUUAUCCUAGGGAAACCUAGGAUACGUACCAUGCAUUAUGUUUACAUGUGCAUGUAAUUUGGUCAUCUUGUGAUAGACCAUUAUGUUUUUAAACUAGCGUGAUCGGAAUCUAUUGUAGAUUUUUUUUUUUUUUAGAUGUUAUUUGUUUUCUUUCCUUUCAUUUUUUAAGUUACGUUUUCCCUUUUUAAUUCUUUUCCCUUAUUCCUUCUUUCCCUUUCUUCCUUCUUUGCUUUCUUCCUGUUUUCUUCUGUCUUUGUUUCUUUCAAAUAAUGAAGGAAUUCUUUUUCUUUCUCUCUUCCUCCAUUUUUCUUACUUUUAUCUUUUCUCUCCUUAUGUUUUAUCUUUCACACAUUUAUUCAUCUUCCCUUCCUUUAUUUUAAUUCUUUCUUUCUUUAUUCAUUUCAAGUAAUGACGGAAAUUGUUAUCUGUCUUUUAUUCUUUCUUUUAUCCUUUUAUUCAAACUUUUUUCCUUUUAAUUUUUCCUUAUUUUUUCUUUCCUCUCAAUUCAUUUCUUGUUUCCUCAUUUUUUUCUCUUUUCUUUCUUCCGCUCACCCUCCCUUCCCCUUUCUUAAUAUAUUACGUUAGCAAGUCUAACACUGUGUAGCCUUUUUGUUGAUUUUUUGGCCUGGCUCGGUCGAUCCGAUGGUACAUAGUGCUUUGUCGAUUGUCCCGUAUUUAAUUUUGUGAAAUCUGGUCACCCUGGCUGGAACAUCAAAUUUAUUAUUUUUCAUUUACCGCAAUGAAUCUAAUCAAUUAAUCUAAUUUGAUGCAUUGGGUAAACUUUUUUCCUUACGCCUUACGUGGGAGACAUACAUGUAUCAUAAACUUGUUUUAAAAAAAUAGGUCACAAUUGUGAUUUAAUGUCAUGGAGAUUAGUGCUGCCACCAAACGGAUAUCCGAACGGUUUCCGCCCGCGUGGAUGGAUAACGGUUUCCAUUUUUCGGGUUCGGGUAUCCGUGGACACUGAUUCACCACUUUCCUGUCACAAAAACUCAUUAAAUUUAGUAAGACUCACCAACAAAAUUUAUUAGUUUUAGUCGCCAAUAUAAUCACCAAUAUCAAUUAAUCUUCUUCGGUAAUAUAUUCCCGCCGAAAACCAUCGUUUUUAUAUCAGUUUUGAAACAUGACCUUAUAUCAGUUUUGGAGCUUGACCGUCCGUGAAUGGAGUAAAGUUCCGUUCUGACAACGAUGGCUAUUUUACUAUGGUUUCGCUUAAGAUCGUUUUUCUUUCCCGUCUUAUGUUUUGAUGAUUUCAAAUGCGUAACUUAUCGUAUACUUUCUUACCUCGACUUUCAAUGCGAGUGAAGAAUGUUCAAAGAUAAUUUGGAACCAUUUAAGCAUCAAAUAAAUGUAUCAGUAUCACUGAACAUCCUGUGUGCAUUUUAGGUCACAUGACCAAGGUCAAAGGUCAAUGAUCUUUGGCCAUAAUGGGGGUAUUUGUUGCAUUACCAUCAUAACUUUAAAAGUUUAUGGAUCUGAUUCAUGAAACUUGGACAUAAUAGUAAUCAACUAUUACUGAACAUCUUGUGCAAGUUUCAGGUCACAUGAUCAAGGUCAAAGGUCAUUUAGGGUCAAUGAACUUUGGUCAAAUUGGGGUAUUUGUUGAAUUACUGCCAUAACUUUGAAAGUGUGUUGGUCUAGUUCAUAAAACUUGGACAUAAGAGUAAUCAAGUAUCACUGAACAUCCUGUGCGCAUUUUAGGUCACAUGACCAAGGUCAAAGGUCAAUGAACUUUGGCCAUAAUGGGGGUAUCUGUUGAAUUACCAUCAUAACUUGGAAAGUUGAUGGAUCUUACUCUUGAAACUUGGACAUAAGAGUAAUCAAGUAUCACUGAACAUCUUGUGCGAGUUUCAGGUCACAUGAUCAAGGUCAAAGGUCAUGUAAGGUCAAUGAACUUUGGCCACGUUGGGGGUAUUUCUUGAAUUACCAUCAUAUCUCUAUGAGUGUAUGGGUCUAGUUCAUAAAACGUGGAAAUAAGAGUAACCAAGUAUCACUGAACAUCUUGUGCGAGUUAUAGUAGUUUUCAAAAUCAGCACUGCUGAGCUUGCGUGAUGCAGGUGAGACGGCUAGAGGCAUUCCACUUGUUUGUAAUUUAUUUAAAUUGAAAUGCGUAACGAAAUAUUCAUUUUCAGUACUUUUUUCUCACAUCAACUUCGAUAUGAAUGAAGAAUGAAAAUAAUUUUGAAAUCAUGUAAACGUCAAAUGCAUGUUGAUUGGCCAAUUUUUUUUGUUUCUUUUGAUUUAUUUAUCAAAUCCAAAAUAAUGAAUCAUCCCUUUUCUUUCUUAAACUGUCAUUAAUAAUGAUUAAUUACAAUGAAACUGUCCAUUAUCUAGAUGUCAAUUGUAUAUCCACUAUAAAUUUUGAUAUCCAUCAUCAUGUAAACAACAAUACUUAAAUAAAAGGCGGUAUCGUCCCAGAAAGGUUCAUGAUGUGCGCCCGCCGAGUCGUAUGUGGUCGGUUGUGAAUCGACGUGUUUUGCAGUAAAACUUACUGGUGAUGAACGUAAGUGAUUAGUUACUGUUACUGUGAUUAAAUAUUGUCUUGAAUCUUUGUUAGAAGUGUGAUUAUGUUUCAGAAGUUGAGAAAUGAGAAGCUUGGCUAUAAUUUUGGGAAUGGGGAGAAACCCGACAUGAAAAUGAAAAUAUUCCAAGUACAAUCCCAUUUGAAGGUGUAGCGAGUAUAAUGUGGCCAAAUAUAGAUCGGACGAUUCACUCCAGACACGUUCAGACAGGACAGCACGUGCGUGAGCUGAAUGAUGUAGGCCUGUCUGGAUUUAGACUUUUAGUAAUAGUAGACUCGCACUUCACUCGCCUCGGUCAAAUUCAUUGCAUCUUAUUUCAUUCGAUCGGAACUAAAAAAAUAAACACACAUACUCUCGCAACAAUUAAAUGAGAUCGUAACUAGGCCCGACUUGUAUAACUCAAAUAAUAGUCAUUUACACAGUCAUACGAUCUACAUUUGUAGCCGUAGCCUCACGCUAACUCACAUUAGUCAAAUCCGAUUGCAAAACAGACUCAACCCAAAAUAUUCAGCUUCUCGUAAUUUCGUGGUUUUCAGAAAUUUUUUUAAUUAGCGCAAGCUGACUCUCGCCAUCAUCAGAUAGGUUAAAAACUCAAAUAUAACUGAAAAUCUUAAAUAUAACUCAAAUAAGUGCAAAUGGAUAUUAUUUUUUAUAUUUCAGGGUAAAAUUUCGGAUACCCGUCUGCCGUCCGGUUUUCAGUGUCGGGCAUCCGAAUAUUGAAAUAUCCGUUUCAAGUCAGGCCUAAUGGAGAUCAAUUCUCUAUCUUGUGGGAUAAGUUUUUGUCUCGCCUGCAUAGCAGAGCGAGACUAUAGGCGCCGCUUUUCCGACGGCGGCGGCGGCGGCGUCAACAUCAAAUCUUAACCUAAGGUUAAGUUUUUGAAAUGACAUCAUAACUUAGAAAGUAUAUGGACCUAGUUCAUGAAACUUGGACAUAAGGUUAAUCAAGUAUUACUGAACAUCCUGCCUGAGUUUCAGGUCACAUGACCAAGGUCAAAGGUCAUUUAGGGUCAAUGAACUUAGACCAUGUUGGGAAAAUUAUUUUCAAAAUCUUAACCGAAGGUUAAGUUUUUGAAAUGACAUCAUAACUUAGAAAGUAUAUGGACCUAGUUCAUGAAACUUGGGCAUAAGGUUAAUCAAGUAUUAGUGAACAUCCUGCUCGAGUUUCAGGUCACGUGACCAAGGUCAAAGGUCAUUUAGGGUCAAUGAACUUUGGUCAAGUUGGGGGUAUUUGUUGAAUUACUAUCAUAACUUUGAAAAUUUAUGGAUCUAGUCCAUGAAACUUGGACAUAAGGUUAAUCAAGUAUUAGUGAACAUCUUGCCUGAGUUUUAGGUCACAUGACCAAGGUCAAAGGUCAUUUAGGGUCAAUGAACUUUGGCCAAGUUGGGGGUAUUUGUUGAAUUACCAUCAUAACUUUGAAAAUUUAUGGAUUUAGUUCAUGAAACUUGGACAUUAGGUUAAUCAAGUAUCACUGAACAUCCUGUACGAGUUUCAGGUCACAUGACCAUGGUCAAAGGUCAUUAAAGGUCAUUGAACUUUGGCCGUGUUGGGGGUAUUUGUUGAAUUACCAUCCUAACUGUGAAAGUUUAUGGAUCUAGUUCAUAAAACUUGGGAUAUAAGAGUAAUCAAGCAUCACUGAACAUCCCCUGUGAGUUUCAGGUCACAAAACCAAGUCAAAGGUCAGUUAAGGUCAAUAAACUUAGGCCAUGUUGGGGUAAUUGUUGAAGUGCCAUCAUAACUUUGAAAGUUUAUGGAUAGAGUGAAUGAAAUGUGGACAUGGGUGUAGUUGACAGUCUUAAGUCUUCGUUCAAAUGUCAUUUAUGGUCAAUGAACGUGGUAUUAUGUCAUUAUAUGAAUGAUGUUUUUGUGAAUGAUUAUUUUAUAGUAGUUUUCAAAGUUAGCACUGCUGCUAUAUUAGAUUGCGUAAUGCAGGCGAGACUGCCAGAGGCGUUCCACUUGUUUUUCCAUACGUACCCAUUCCUCUCCCUUCAGCGUGAACUAUACACAUAAUCCCAUCUCCUUAUGAACAGUGUAAGAACUAGAAAACAUUUGAAACAUUCUUCAUUGAGUUUUAACGGGGUGCACAGGGUGGAAUUAGGAAAGAAGAAAGAAAGGCAUAU